This 317-nucleotide ribosomal RNA is filed under the name uncultured Tomentella. RNAcentral's name for it is "eukaryotic LSU rRNA". Lineage: Eukaryota; Fungi; Basidiomycota; Agaricomycetes; Thelephorales; Thelephoraceae. The record is from RNAcentral.
AACGCACCUUGCGCCCCUUGGCUAUUCCGAAGGGCAUGCCUGUUUGAGUAUCAUGAACACCUCAACCGUUGUGGUUUGCCGCAAUUGGCUUGGACUUUGGAGGUUUUGCUGGCUCCCUGUGGUCAGCUCCUCUCAAAUGAAUCAGCUCACCAGUGUUUGGUGGCAUUGCAGGUGUGAUAAAUAUCUACGCUUGCAGCUGUCCACCAUGCAACCUUCAGUGAUGAGGGUUCGCUGGGGCUCACAGAUGUCUCUCCUGAGUGAAGACAGCUUUUUGGACGUUCGAUCUCAAAUCAGGUAGGACUACCCGCUGAACUUAA